UACGUAAGGGGCAAGCGUUGUCCGGAUUUACUGGGCGUAAAGAGCGUGUAGGCGGCCAAGCAGGUCCGUUGUGAAAACUGGAGGCUUAACCUCCAGACGUCGACGGAAACCGCGUGGCUAGAGUCCGGAAGAGGAGAGUGGAAUUCCUGGUGUAGCGGUGAAAUGCGCAGAUAUCAGGAAGAACACCAAUGGCGAAGGCAGCUCUCUGGGACGGUACUGACGCUGAGACGCGAAAGCGUGGGGAGCGAACAGG
This 253-nucleotide ribosomal RNA is filed under the name uncultured bacterium. RNAcentral's name for it is "partial 16S ribosomal RNA". It matches the Rfam family "Bacterial small subunit ribosomal RNA", at positions 524 to 776 of the family's 1533-position model. The record is from RNAcentral.